GGUAAUUAAUUAUCUUGCAGUUAUUAUUUAUCUGCUCCGGGCCAAGCGAUCGAGCAACUGCCACUGCAGUAUACGGACCAGCGAUCGAGCAUGAGAUUGAGGGGAAUGCAUCGCGAGGUAAUUUAGAUUCGCGAUGGGGGCGAAAGCGUUCGGGCGGCGGAGCAGCAGCUUCCCCUUGUUCAGCUUCGGCUGCGGCGCCUGCUCUGACUCUAAGUCCGUCUCUGUUUCCGCCACCAAGCCAGCCUCUCCCCGCAGCGGCGGCGCCGUGGAGUCCUCGGCUGACACUCCGCUCAGCCUCGCGGCGACCUUAUCCUCCUCCUACCAUGACGACGAAGAGGGGACGCCGGCGAGCGUCUCCGAGCUCCUCCUCCAGCUUGGGGAGCUAGAGCGGAGCGUCGUGGCCUGGAGCAGGGGCGGCGAGAGGAGGCAGAGCCGCGGAGUCGAGGACAGCGUGGUGGUGGUGGUGAGGGACACGAAGAAUCCGACGGAGGAGUUCCGGCGCUCGAUGCUGCACAUGAUCGUGGAGAAGGAGAUCGUGGGCGGCGCGGAGCUGCAGGAGCUGCUCCGCCGCUUCCUGGCGCUGAACUCACCGCGAUACCACGCCACCAUCCUCUGCGCCUUCGCCGAGAUAUGGGAGGACGUGUUCGCAGGGUACGAGCGGACGCCGGAUUUCCUGCGCCGAAGCUACUCCGAUCAGCUUCCACUUGGCCGGCUCCAUUAAUUGAGACGGUAGGAGCCACGUGGCAUGCUCAGGGCUAGGUCAAUACGGCCCAGACCAAUCCAACUUAAGAUGAAGCUCGAGUCAAGUGAGUCUAGUGUACGACGAAUUCCAGUCAAGUCAGAUCACCUCUUCCAAGUUCAACUCAAGUCCAUUGGGCCCAAGGGACUUGGCUAGCGCACUCAGGUUGAGUCAACUAAUUCAUGGUCAAACUCAGGUCAAGUAAGCCAAAUCACAGCCAAACUUGACUCGAGUCGGUUCCAGUUACGUUUGGAUCAAGUCACUCCCAGCCAAAUUCAAGAUCAUGCUCAAAUUAGACUGCUCUCGUGCGUGGAUGCGACACAACGAUCAUAAUGACACCAGUUACAAAAGAGUGUGAGAGGCAUCAAAGGAUCUUGGAUUUGAAUCUAUUCGAACCGAAUUUGUG
Molecule: RNA transcript, 1145 nt
Organism: Zingiber officinale
Lineage: Eukaryota; Viridiplantae; Streptophyta; Magnoliopsida; Zingiberales; Zingiberaceae
Gene name: transcription repressor OFP8-like
Exons: 3
Source: RefSeq, a predicted model, not a curated record